UUAACGAAGAGAAACAAAAGAAAAUUGAAAAACAAUAAGUUUGUAGAGAGCGAACAGCUGAUAACACAUUCCGCCAUUAUUCGCACGGUACACAAUAAUUAUAUCUAACAAAACAAAACUCCAAUUAAAAAUUGAGAGACAAUUAAAAACAAAACCUAGUAGGCUCCCAUACAGAAUUAAUAAUGUCAAUUGUUUUUACAACAUUUUCAUUACAAAUUUGUUCGUUGUUGUGUUUGGUAGCAAUGGUCUUGUAUUAAAUAUAUAUUUUAUAUUGUAAAAUUGGACUUCAAAAUAUUGCAAAAUUGCAAGUAUUUAAAAUUUAAUUGAAUUCGCAAACGAGAAGGCGGCAAUCAACUCAGUUUCAGUGUAAACUAGUAAGAUACUGCGUAAUAUUAUUGUUUAUACGUACAUGCGUGCAUACAUACACACAGUAUAGAUAUACAACAUUAAUUGUUUAAAAUAACAUAAGACAACAACAAAUACACAAAGACAAGCCAUUUUAUUUUGUUAUUGAUUUAGUUACGCUAACGGAUUAACAAUACAACAGUAUAAAGCAACAAAUUCUCAGAUAAUUAAAUUAUA
Teleopsis dalmanni is the source of this 582-nucleotide long non-coding RNA. RefSeq lists it as uncharacterized. NCBI's taxonomy places the organism in Eukaryota, Metazoa, Arthropoda, Insecta, Diptera, Diopsidae. The transcript has 3 exons. The record is from RefSeq and is a predicted model, not a curated record.